This 82-nucleotide small nuclear RNA is filed under the name Naja naja (Indian cobra). RNAcentral describes it as "U2 spliceosomal RNA (ENSNNAG00000002855.1)". It matches the Rfam family "U2 spliceosomal RNA", at positions 1 to 116 of the family's 192-position model. From Rfam's summary of the family: U2 is a small nuclear RNA (snRNA) component of the spliceosome (involved in pre-mRNA splicing). The record is from Rfam by way of RNAcentral. Lineage: Eukaryota; Metazoa; Chordata; Lepidosauria; Squamata; Elapidae.
CUCACUUCUCAGCCUUUUGGCUAAGAUCAAGUGUAGUAUCGUACUCCUUUUACAUUCUUGCUGUUAUUUUUAGCAAGCCUUU